This 222-nucleotide ribosomal RNA is filed under the name uncultured bacterium. RNAcentral describes it as "partial 16S ribosomal RNA". It matches the Rfam family "Bacterial small subunit ribosomal RNA", at positions 328 to 539 of the family's 1533-position model. The record is from RNAcentral.
ACGCUCGACACCUACGGGAGACAGCAGUAGGGAAUCUUCCACAAUGGACGCAAGUCUGAUGGAGCAACGCCGCGUGAGUGAAGAAGGUUUUCGGAUCGUAAAGCUCUGUUGUUGGUGAAGAAGGAUAGAGGUAGUAACUGGCCUUUAUUUGACGGUAAUCAACCAGAAAGUCACGGCUAACUACGUGCAGCAGCCGCGGUAAUCUGAGCGGGCUGGCAAGGC